UGCCCACCUACGGUUCCCAUAAUGAUAUCGAUAACGACGUCGAAUAUGCGCCUAAAAAGCGCGCGCCGCGGCGAACACGUUCGCCAGGGCGGAGGCCAGCUGCUGAUUACACCUCAUCGCGGAUGGAUCGUUUCUCUCUUUCUGCCUGAUCGGGGCCAAGUAUUAUACGGCGAGUGGAAGUGGCCACGGCAUGUGAGCUCUCCCGGGCCACCUACCGCUCAAUGUAAUAAUAUUGACAGCGAUCGGCAGAAGCGGCGGGUAAGUAAGCAAAUAUAAAGUACGCUGAAAAGCCAGCCUUCUCCUGGAACGCGCUUCGGGAUCGAAAGCUGGAGAGAAGGAGGCUGUUGCACGAACUAACGGCGACUAUUAGCGGCAUGCGUCGAUUUAACGGACGACCGGUGAGCGGGAUCUUCGCGAGGAUCAGUUCUGUCGUGCCCGGAUUAUGUCUGAAUGUCGGGGGGGAGGAGGGCAGGUGUGUACGGGCCUUCUCGAUAUAUAUCUGAUCGUAGACGCAGCAAUGUCAAUGUUCGAUCCAUUUUGACUGUGUUUCGCUCCCCUAAUUAGCUGUUAUUGCGCGCUUACACACAGGAUAUCGAAAACAUUGUAUCAAGAUGAAGAAGAAGAAAGUUAAGCUCCUUCGAGAUGAUAAUUUAGAUGUUCCAUAAAGUUUCUAAUAAUCAAGCAACACUGCAGCUUUGUUUAAAACGAAGGAACCAACAUUUAUCGGAAUAUCACGCGAUGAGAGUUAUUAUUAUUAGGCGAGGUUUCGAGAAAAUCAUAUCGAGAUGAGAAGGAAGAGGUAAAUCUCUUUUAAAAUGCACAUCAAGCACCGUUUAAGAAGACGAUCAUCACAAUAUUCGAACAAGAAAGCGCAAGUUCUCAAUCGCCAGUUAAUUUUGACAACUCGGAAUAAAUGAAGAUACAUUGUCGAAGAAGAUUUAUAAAUUAACUUUUAUAAUUUAUAAGUAAAUUUGUAAAAAAACUUUUUAUGAACUCUGACGAUCUAUCGAGAGAAUAUUUCGACAUAUGUGCAAUGAAAAAUAUUA
This is a long non-coding RNA of Dinoponera quadriceps, 1046 nucleotides long. RefSeq lists it as uncharacterized. NCBI's taxonomy places the organism in Eukaryota, Metazoa, Arthropoda, Insecta, Hymenoptera, Formicidae. The record is from RefSeq and is a predicted model, not a curated record. The transcript is spliced from 3 exons.